Molecule: ribosomal RNA, 440 nt
Filed under: uncultured bacterium
Lineage: Bacteria
Description: partial 16S ribosomal RNA
Rfam family: Bacterial small subunit ribosomal RNA
Source: RNAcentral
CCUACGGGUGGCAGCAGUGGGGAAUAUUGCACAAUGGGGGAAACCCUGAUGCAGCGACGCCGCGUGAGCGAUGAAGUAUUUCGGUAUGUAAAGCUCUAUCAGCAGGGAAGAAAAUGACGGUACCUGACUAAGAAGCCCCGGCUAACUACGUGCCAGCAGCCGCGGGAAUACGUAGGGGGCAAGCGUUAUCCGGAUUUACUGGGUGUAAAGGGAGCGUAGACGGCGAUGCAAGCCAGAUGGGAAAGCCCGGGGCUCAACCCCGGGACUGCAGUUGGAACUGGAUAGCUGGAGUGUCGGAGAGGCAGGCGGAAUGCGUAGUGUAGCGGUGAAAUGCGUAGAUAUUAGGAGGAACACCAGUGGCGAAGGCGGCCUGCUGGACGAUGACUGACGUUGAGGCUCGAAAGCGUGGGGAGCAAACAGGAUUAGAUACCCUGGUAGUC